Molecule: small nucleolar RNA, 133 nt
Organism: Lepus europaeus (European hare)
Lineage: Eukaryota; Metazoa; Chordata; Mammalia; Lagomorpha; Leporidae
Product: small nucleolar RNA SNORA9
Exons: 1
Source: RefSeq, a predicted model, not a curated record
CAGCAAGCCUCCAGCAUGCCUGGGUCUGCUGUGACCCUGUGCAUUCCUACAAUGCUUGCCAAAACAGUUUUGAAAAGGUUUGAGGACUUGCCCUGCUCCAUCCCAUGUAAGGUUAUAGAACAUUCAGAUAAUU